Molecule: long non-coding RNA, 3080 nt
Filed under: Triticum aestivum (bread wheat)
Lineage: Eukaryota; Viridiplantae; Streptophyta; Magnoliopsida; Poales; Poaceae
Description: long non-coding RNA (TAES_LNC003008)
Source: RNAcentral
AUGUUUCAAUUGUGUGCAGGUAGAAAAUUCAUCAUUUUAGUGUCCAUCUGAAGAAUCACAUGGUGAUAGGAAUAAGGACUAUGGAUGGCAUGUUGGUAGGAAUCUGAGAUGAUAAAAAAUAGUACUCAUCCAACUGCUAACUGAAUGUGCUGGAAAUUAGCUCAUAGUGACACAUAUAUUAUUACUGGGUCAGUACUGUCCUAGACUUGCAUAUUCAGAAUUAAUGCAUCUCACACAGUAGUGCCAUUUGUCGACACACGAUAUGAUAUAUGGAUAAAACCAUGAAAGUGUAUAUGAAACUGUAUAAUCUGGCACUUUGUUUCAGGCCUCCAGCAAUGUGAUGUCCUUUUUAUGUUAUCAUGGCAUACUAGAUAAUUAAAUGACGAUUCUUUGAUAAUGUCUCCAUAUCUUCAGCUAAGAACAUGCUGUCAACAUCACGGAACGACAUGGAGCUGCAGACGUGCACUUUGGAGCAGAGGUUGACUUGCAGUUGCGUCUGCAAUCUCCCAAACAAAUGAGCAGCACCAUGCAGUUGUGGGCUUGCAGUAGGUUGGUAGGUGAAUGGUCAUAGCGGGAAUACAACGAGCAUGUCGACUGCUGCGAGUAUUCCAUUCAAGUCGACGACUACAUUUGCAAGAGGUGAGUUGUUUACUUGGAGAAAUAUUUGAGAAAAUCAUCAAUUUAUUUAGCAUUAGUUAAAUCAGUUUGUUGAGCUGAGCUUUUUAUCUUGAUGGUAGUGAGAAUUCUGAUGGUAGAAGAAUUCUUCUAUUGAGAUGGUUCUUCUAUUUUUAAUGUACUCCUACUAUUUUAAUGCAACAUUGCUUUUUAGUGCUAAAUUACUAGAUUACAUCCUUUCUUUUCCCUUUUCCCUUGAAAAGCAUGGUAGAAGUUGUGUUUAAACACUCAUAUAUAGAAGACUAAGAAUUUCUUUUUGUUCUUCUUGCUAUUGGCUGGUAGCUUUUAGUAGCAAUUUGGAUAAUUAUGUGCAUAAUAUUCUGUAUGAUUUUGGGGCAAGAAAGGUCGGGGAUUCUGUUGUGGGUGGAUCAUAGCCUCCAGAACAAAGCACACUAUACAGUAGCCUGAGCAAGUUGUGGGCGGUGCCUUCAUAUGGUUGUUAAAUUGCUGCUCUUUUUCUAUAUGGAUUAAUGCGAAGCAACUCGAAUUUCUCUUUGAAAAAUAUAUGUCUCUCUUUUUGUUUGAUUUGAGUUCCUCACAGUAGUUGCUUUUGAUGUUAUUGUAGUUUUACACCACUGUGUGAUCGAUGAAUUCGAGGUCCGAUGCCCAUCUGGGGGCCGGAGUAGAUUCAUCAGACGGUGGAGUUGAGUGACCCACUCAUUGAUCCCAGAUGUGCUCAAGUGAAGCCAGGGAUUUGAUCCAUCCAUCUUGGAGCGGAUGAAUCAACAGAGAAUCCAUCCGGUCAACAAGUGAAUUUAGGCUUGAUUAAUUAGCAGGAGCAUACGAGUCUCUUGUGCACAUGUAGUUUAGGUGUACACAGGUUCAGGUAGUCAACUGUUAAGCAUGGUAGGAUUCGCAAGCUGGGCAGUAGGCGGCGUCACGGUACAAUCCAGCAGGGCGGCGGAGGAGGCGGACAGUGGUGACUGGGGAGGAUACGAAGUGGGAUGGAUAGGUUGAGGGAAAUUUGUGGGUCUGGACUGGAGCAGAGGGAGAUAGAGAAUGGGUGAGAAAGAUGGAGAUGUUGAUAGGUAACACCUGUAGCAACGAGAUGUUGAUAGUUUACUUUUCUUCAUCUCCAACGCAACUAUCAACUGAUGCGCUAAUUGUAUCAUCACAGUUCUCAUGUAAGCAAAGGAUCUUGCUUCUUCCCGAAUUAGAUUUUGAAGUAUUCCACUUCUAUUGUUUCUUCAGGCAUAAUGCAUUUGAUCACGGUUCUCAUGUGAUCGGCUACCUGCAGAUCUACAUACUAGGGCCGUGAUGUGCAAUGGAGGAGUCUUGACGAUCCAAUGAUUUAUUUGUGUUUGGUUUUGCUGCAUGGGUCAGUAUGUGCAUAUCCUUGGAUGUAGUAUUGCUUUUCCUAACUGUGUUUUCUAGAUUAGACAAUGAUUCGCAAUGUACUAGGAGGUUUGGACAGCAAGUGAUUGUCACCAACACCAAGGAUCAGGUUCCUGCCAGAAGAACCCAAAGCAGAGCAAGAGAAGGAAAUGAAGGUGAAGCUGCAGGUUCUAUUGGAGAGAGGGCUGCAUCACAUACUUGCUGCAAAGGCCAUGUUGUCAAGGAGCCGGUGACUGCCGCUCCAGCUGCCUCGUGCCAUGCCCCAUUGUGAGAGUCUGCAUCUGGCUCGCGCCACCACUCCAGCAGGCACUCAACGCGCAAUCCUGGGUUGUUGUGUUGACUUGAUACAGUCGCUGAUAACAGUGAUGCAGCGCUCUAGCUAAUAGUUAGUAUUGGUGUCUGACUGGAGCAACUAGAGUCGCUAGCUAUUGUGCUAAAAGCAACAGGAUGGAUUUGCUCCAUGCAAGAAGACAGUAAGGAUAAAGGAGCAAAAAGCAGGCCGUUGGUGGUGAUGGAUAAUUUCUCCAAUCAAUUUAAUCAUAGACGCCUUCCAACAUUGCACACUAAGCGAUUGCAUUGCUUAGAUAUAUAGAAAGGCGGCUUCUGUUUUCAAGAAAGUUCAGGUGUCGUGAUUGUUAAUUUUUUAUGCCAACAAUUACAUAAGCUUGGCUGACAAGUAUACAUUCUGAAUUGUAUGUUCAGAUGAUAUUCACAUAUUUAGACUGAACCUUUAAACCUAGCAUAUUUAUUUUUCUCACCUAACGAUUUUGAUUAUGUACGAUAUGUAUCCCAUAGAAAGCUGGUUUUGACAUUACAAUCUGGCACUGAAUAAAUAGAAAAAGGGAGAUUCAUAUAGUGGCAGUAAAGUGCUAAGAAGUUAUAAUCUGUUUUUAGUUGUAUUACAGUGAGAGGAAACCCUUAUUUUACUUGUGAGCAUUGUAAUUGUUUGCGAAGGGCUAAUGUUGACAUGCAUACAAAUAUUAGCCUGGAGGUCGUGCUUUGUUCAAAGUAGCUGGGUAUAUGUACAACUAAUAAAUAUUCAUGUGUUAUCUUGGUACAAUAUUGUUGAG